GUAGGGGGCUAGCGUUGUCCGGAUUUAUUGGGCGUAAAGCGCGUGUAGGCGGCCAGGUAGGUCUGCUGUGAAAACCCGAGGCUUAACCUCGGGACGCCGGCGGAAACCAUCUGGCUAGAGUCCGGAAGAGGAGAGUGGAAUUCCUGGUGUAGCGGUGAAAUGCGCAGAUAUCAGGAAGAACACCCAUGGCGAAGGCAGCUCUCUGGGACGGUACUGACGCUGAGACGCGAAAGCGUGGGGAGCGAACAGGAUUAGAUACCCUGGUAGUCCACGCCGUAAACGAUGGGUGCUAGGUGUGGGGGGUGUCGACUCCCUCCGUGCCGAAGCUAACGCAUUAAGCACCCCGCCUGGGGAGUACGGCCGCAAGGCUA
RNAcentral lists this ribosomal RNA (371 nucleotides) under uncultured bacterium. RNAcentral describes it as "bacterial SSU rRNA". It matches the Rfam family "Bacterial small subunit ribosomal RNA", at positions 527 to 896 of the family's 1533-position model. The record is from RNAcentral.